RNAcentral lists this ribosomal RNA (49 nucleotides) under Sphinctrina intermedia. Its description in RNAcentral is "partial 28S large subunit ribosomal RNA". The record is from RNAcentral. Lineage: Eukaryota; Fungi; Ascomycota; Eurotiomycetes; Mycocaliciales; Sphinctrinaceae.
UUGACCUCGGAUCAGGUAGGGAUAUCCCGCUGAACUUAAGCAUUUAAAA